CGCCUAACAGCUAGCCCACUAAUACAUCCAACACACACUUAUUUAUAACCCCACAUGCACUAAAACUAAAAACCAAACCAUUUUUCCCCCUAAGUAUGGGCGACAGAAAAGGAACCAAAGAGCAACAGAAAAAGUACCGCAAGGGAACGCUGAAAGAGAAAUGAAACAACCCAGUAAAGCCAAAGAAAGCAGAGAUUACACCUCGUACCUUUUGCAUCAUGAUUUAGCAAGUAUACCCAAGCAAAAAGCAUUUUAGUUUGGCCCCCCGAAACCAAGUGAGCUACUCCAAGACAACCUAUAAUUUAGGGUAAACCCGUCUCUGUGGCAAAAGAGUGGGAAGAGCUUCGAGUAGAGGUGACAGACCUAUCGAACUUGGUAAUAGCUGGUUGCUUGAGAAACGAAUAGAAGUUCUGCCUCUUAUCUUCUCACCCCACUCUGGUCACCAGAGCCCUUCCACCGGUAAAAGAAGAUAAAAGAGUUAGUCAAAGGGGGUACAGCCCCUUUGAGACAAGAUACAACUUUUCCAGCAGGGUAAAGAUCAUAAUUUUUAAGGCACCUAUGUUUGGGUGGGCCUAAAAGCAGCCAUCCCAUUAGAAAGCGUUAAAGCUCUAACAUACUCCCCCCUUCGAUCCCGAUAAUAAAUCUUAGCCCCCUAACCAUAUCAAGCCGUCCCAUAGUAACAUGGGAGUGAUUAUGCUAAAAUGAGUAACCAGAGAACACCACCUCUCUCCUUGCACAUGUGUAAAUCGGAACGGACCCCCCACCGAAACUUAACGGCCCCAAACAACAGAGGGCACUGAAUGAUAAAAAACAAACAAGAAAAUCAUCCAAAAUUCUACCGUUAACCCCACACUGGUGUACUUAAAAGGAAAGACCAAAAGGAAAAGAAGGAACUCGGCAAAUACACCUAAGCCUCGCCUGUUUACCAAAAACAUCGCCUCUUGCUAAAUACACAUAAGAGGUCCCGCCUGCCCUGUGACCCCUGGUUUAACGGCCGCGGUAUUUUGACCGUGCAAAGGUAGCGCAAUCACUUGUCCCUUAAAUGAGGACCCGUAUGAAUGGCACAACGAGGGCUUAACUGUCUCCUUUCCCCGGUCAAUGAAAUUGAUCUUCCCGUGCAGAAGCGGGAAUUCUAACAUAAGACGAGAAGACCCUAUGGAGCUUUAGACUUUAGAACAGACCAUGUCAGCUACCCCCUUAAACAAGUAGUAAUUAUUGAACCCCUGUUCCCCUGUCUUUGGUUGGGGCGACCACGGGGAAGAAAAAAACCCCCACGUGGACUGGGAGCACCUUACUCCUACAACUACGAGCCACAGCUCUAAUGCGCAGAAUUUCUGACCAUGAGAUCCGGCAAAGCCGAUCAACGGACCGAGUUACCCUAGGGAUAACAGCGCAAUCCCCUUCAAGAGUCCAUAUCGACAAGGGGGUUUACGACCUCGAUGUUGGAUCAAGACAUCCUAAUGGUGCAGCCGCUAUUAAGGGUUCGUUUGUUCAACGAUUAAAGUCUUACGUGAUCUGAGUUCAGACCGGAGUAAUCCAGGUCAGUUUCUAUCUAUGACAUGUUCUUUUCUAGUACGAAAGGACCGAAAAGAGAAGGCCCAUGCUUAAAGCACGCCUUACCCUUACCUAAUGAAGCUAACUAAAAUAGACAAAAGGGCAUUUCCCAAUGCUGUAGAUAACAGCAU
This 1685-nucleotide ribosomal RNA is filed under the name Aldrichetta forsteri (yellow-eye mullet). RNAcentral's name for it is "16S ribosomal RNA". The stretch from base 94 to 1606 matches the Rfam family "Bacterial large subunit ribosomal RNA". The record is from RNAcentral. Lineage: Eukaryota; Metazoa; Chordata; Actinopteri; Mugiliformes; Mugilidae.